RNAcentral lists this transfer RNA (66 nucleotides) under marine eukaryotic metagenome. It matches the Rfam family "tRNA". From Rfam's summary of the family: Transfer RNA (tRNA) molecules are approximately 80 nucleotides in length. Their secondary structure includes four short double-helical elements and three loops (D, anti-codon, and T loops). Further hydrogen bonds mediate the characteristic L-shaped molecular structure. tRNAs have two regions of fundamental functional importance: the anti-codon, which is responsible for specific mRNA codon recognition, and the 3' end, to which the tRNAs corresponding amino acid is attached (by aminoacyl-tRNA synthetases). tRNAs cope with the degeneracy of the genetic code in two manners: having more than one tRNA (with a specific anti-codon) for a particular amino acid; and 'wobble' base-pairing, i.e. permitting non-standard base-pairing at the 3rd anti-codon position. The record is from RNAcentral.
GCAGUAGCUCAGUUGGUAGAGCAUCGGUCUCCAAAACCGAAGGUCGCAGGUUCGACCCCUGUCUGC